This 482-nucleotide ribosomal RNA is filed under the name uncultured bacterium. RNAcentral describes it as "partial 16S ribosomal RNA". It matches the Rfam family "Bacterial small subunit ribosomal RNA", at positions 29 to 507 of the family's 1533-position model. The record is from RNAcentral.
UUGAACGCUGGCGGCAUGCUUUACACAUGCAAGUCGAACGGCAGCGCGGGCUUCGGCCUGGCGGCGAGUGGCGAACGGGUGAGUAAUGCAUCGGAACGUGCCCAGUAGUGGGGGAUAGCCCGGCGAAAGCCGGAUUAAUACCGCAUACGACCUGAGGGUGAAAGCGGGGGACCGAAAGGCCUCGCGCUAUUGGAGCGGCCGAUGUCGGAUUAGCUAGUUGGUGGGGUAAAGGCUUACCAAGGCGACGAUCCGUAGCUGGUCUGAGAGGACGACCAGCCACACUGGGACUGAGACACGGCCCAGACUCCUACGGGAGGCAGCAGUGGGGAAUUUUGGACAAUGGGGGCAACCCUGAUCCAGCCAUGCCGCGUGCGGGAAGAAGGCCUUCGGGUUGUAAACCGCUUUUGUUCGGGAAGAAAUCCUCUGGGCUAAUACCCCGGGGGAUGACGGUACCGGAAGAAUAAGCACCGGCUAACUACGUG